RNAcentral lists this ribosomal RNA (507 nucleotides) under Olios sanguinifrons. Its description in RNAcentral is "partial 16S ribosomal RNA". It matches the Rfam family "Bacterial large subunit ribosomal RNA", at positions 1797 to 2644 of the family's 2925-position model. Lineage: Eukaryota; Metazoa; Arthropoda; Arachnida; Araneae; Sparassidae. The record is from RNAcentral.
CGACUGUUUAUCAAAAACAUAGUUWAUAUAAAUAAUUAUUAAUAUAACCUGCUCAAUGAAUUUUAAAUAGCCGCAGCUUAUACUGUGCUAAGGUAGCAUAAUCAUUUGUCUUUUAAUUAAAGACUAGAAUGAAAGGUUAAAUAUUUAAAUCAUUAUAAAUAAACAAUAUUUUUAACUUAUUUUAAAUGUAAAAAAACAUUUAUAUUUCAGAAAGACGACAAGACCCUAUUGAACUUUACUGAAGUUUAACUGGGGCAGUUAAUUAAUUAUAAUUUUAAUAAAUCUUUAAAAAAAAAUGACCUAAUAAAAUUAAUUAUAUGAUCAAGCUACCAUAGGGAUAACAGCGUAAUAUUUCUCUAUAGCUCUUAUAAAAAGGAAUGAUUGCGACCUCGAUGUUGAAUUAAUUAUUCUAAUAAAUGCAUCAAUUUAUAAAGAAAGUCUGUUCGACUUUUAAAAAAUUACAUGAUUUGAGUUCAGACCGGUAUAAACCAGGUCGGUUUCUAUCUU